GAAUUCAACUCCUACGGGAGGCAGCAGUGGGGAAUAUUGGACAAUGGGCGCAAGCCUGAUCCAGCAAUGCCGCGUGAGUGAUGAAGGCCUUCGGGUCGUAAAGCUCUUUUACCAGGGAUGAUAAUGACAGUACCUGGAGAAUAAGCUCCGGCUAACUCCGUGCCAGCAGCCGCGGUAAUACGGAGGGAGCUAGCGUUGUUCGGAAUUACUGGGCGUAAAGCGCGCGUAGGCGGCGACACAAGUCAGAGGUGAAAGCCCGGGGCUCAACCCCGGAACUGCCUUUGAAACUAGGUUGCUAGAAUCUUGGAGAGGUCAGUGGAAUUCCGAGUGUAGAGGUGAAAUUCGUAGAUAUUCGGAAGAACACCAGUGGCGAAGGCGACUGACUGGACAAGUAUUGACGCUGAGGUGCGAAAGCGUGGGGAGCAAACAGGAUUAGAUACCCUAGUAGUCCAGGCGUU
This 458-nucleotide ribosomal RNA is filed under the name uncultured bacterium. RNAcentral's name for it is "bacterial SSU rRNA". It matches the Rfam family "Bacterial small subunit ribosomal RNA", at positions 328 to 803 of the family's 1533-position model. The record is from RNAcentral.